UGUCUGUUGAAUGGACUAGAAUGGAAUGGCAGGAGAGGAUCGGGUCAAACAGGAGUGGUAAAGGCACCACAGACUAUCUCCGCAGGAUGUAGAUGGCCUCGCUACAUUGAUCUCAAGCGUCCGAGACUCUCCUUAUAGUCCUCUUGGUGGUGAUUCCCAAGGCCAUCUGUGGCCUUGGCUCAUCCCAAGCCUCGUUUCCCCUAGAGACUUUCACACGCCGUGAAAACCUGAUCUCCGUUUCAGCCCUGCUCUCUGGAGAGAUCUACAGGCUCCUUUUUGUUUAUGAAAGUAAAUGGCCAAAUGCUCUGCCCAUCGGGAGGACUUUUCCUCACCACCGUCUUUCAAGACCGUGUCUACGUGGGGCUGCAGUACAACGACCUUUCUGCUGGCACCCGCACAUGCAGCUGACCAGAGAUGAACCACGGUUACCUUUGUCUUCCUGUGUCACUUGUCCUCAAGGACCGCCCCGUCUUAUGCAGCCUAAAGAUGAGUAAGGGAGGGGGAUUGGUGUGGACAGCCAGCCUGCUUGUGCAGCUUGGUGAUUUGAUGCCCUCCAGUCCUGUUCACGCUUUAUCCCGGGGCACCACUGCCAUCUGACGAUGUGAUGCUCUGGGCCUGUCCCACGUCAGACCUGGCGUGUCUGACAGAACCCAGUGCACGAUGGUCAGUGCGGCCACACGGGAAGGGGUGCGCCAUGAUGGAGCAUUGUGUCUCAACUAAGGCCCCAUGGCAUGCGAAGGAUUAUUUUCCAAAAGGAGUAUGAUUCCCCACUACAGAUGGCAUAGCCUUUCCCAGAACCCAGGGGUCUCCCUGGCUGUGCCACUGGGGUCUGCCAUAUGGCAUCUUUUCUCACCACUGUUACCUUCAGCACCACAGAUUCUGCUGAGCCAUCCCUGAAGGGGCUGUCAGCUGAGCCAACGGCACACGCUCCCCCUGGGGUGACAGGUCCUCCAUCAAUGGGGGGGCGGUCUCAGUGGCGUAUCAGUGCCCACCACAGUGUGGCUUUCAGCCUCUCUUCCCACUGCCAGAUCCUCACUCUCUUACCAAGUCUCCUUCAUUCAAGUCCACAGGUAGAUAGCCAACGGCAGAUGAGGACAGCUUUGGAAGGGGUCAGAGGCAGGGAAUGCAGGCCGAGGUUUGGCCUCCCUGGGGCUCUUAUCUGUCCAAUGGAGACCUCACCAGCUACUUGUCAUAACCUGUUGGGGAAAGGCAAUGAAAUUACCUAUGCAGCAUGGCUAGCAUAUAGAAGGCACGAAAUCAGCAUAAGCUUUCUAUCCUUUUCCUUCUCUUCACCCUGAAAACAGGAACACUGAAUUUCAACUCAUUUUCUUCAUUUCAAUUCAGUUCAGCUCAACAAACAUGUACUGUGGCAGCCAAGGUCUGCUGUCUAUAGGUUUGCAGAAGCCAUCUCCAGGAUCAGCCCCAGUGAUGCCUGAUCCUGACUUCACAUCCAUGUGGUCCCACCCCAUCCUGUGCCAGGGUUUGUCUGCGCCACCAACAGAAUUGGGCAGAUGAUGGCAUGUCAUUUCUGAUAUGAGGUCAUACAAGACAUCGCAUCUUCCACCUUGGUGCUUUCUCUCCCCUACACACCUGUCCGGAUGCCUCACACUAGAGAAGCCAGCUGCCGUAUCAUGAACAGCCCAAUGGAGCAGCCCACCUGGCAAGGGACUGAAGCCUUUGCCAACAAAUGCAUGAGUGAUCUUGGAAGCCAUCCUCCAGCCCCAGUCCAGCCUUCAGAUGACUGCACCCCCCGUGAACAACCUGAUGAAACCUCAUGAGAGAUCCGGAGCCAGAACCACACAGCUAAGCUGCUCCCGGAUUUCUGACCCUCAGGCACUGUGUGUGAUAAUGUUGUUUUAAAUUGUUGAGCUUUGGGGGCAAUGUUGUACAUAGCAAUAGAUCAUUUCUAUGUCCCACUGCCCCUAGCUUCUUCUCUUCUAAGAGCCAUUAUUCUUCAAGUGUCUGGGGAGAUCCCUAGUGCUCAGAGAAGGUGGUUCUUUAUUGCAAUACAUAAGGAAAAUCAUAAUUUUAAAAAGUCAUGAUUUAAUAAAGCAGUUUUGGAAGCCA
Molecule: non-coding RNA, 2067 nt
Organism: Manis javanica (Malayan pangolin)
Lineage: Eukaryota; Metazoa; Chordata; Mammalia; Pholidota; Manidae
Source: RefSeq, a predicted model, not a curated record